This is a long non-coding RNA of Megalobrama amblycephala (Wuchang bream), 2461 nucleotides long. RefSeq lists it as uncharacterized. The record is from RefSeq and is a predicted model, not a curated record. The transcript has 6 exons. NCBI's taxonomy places the organism in Eukaryota, Metazoa, Chordata, Actinopteri, Cypriniformes, Xenocyprididae.
AGCGGUCCUGUCGUGUGAGGUUUAGAUCCACUCUGACGGCAACAACAACACAAAACUCCCUAAGACUUCCUAGCUCUUCCAUCCAGAUAGCAAAAUUAUCUGUUUUACUGUUAUUCCUUGUUUUAUCUUUAUUAUUCUUCUUUAUGUAAAGCACUUUGAAUUACCAUUGUGUAUGAAAUGUGCUAUACAAAUAAAAUUGCCUUGCCUUGCCUUGCCUUGCCUUAUUGACCUUCAUGACCAAAUCGUUUCAGAAUCUUCACUGUAAAAAAUGAUUUUUUGAACUUGUAAAUAAAGAUAGCAUCAUUUAAGUACAUUUUACAAGCAAAUACUAUUUUGUCUUUUUACUUAAAAAUGUCACGUUUAAUCCAAUAAGCUACUUGAGGUUUCGUUUUCAUUUAUUGUGCUUAAAUACAUAAGUAAAUUAAAAUGGAACUGCUCAAGUAAUAUUUACUUAGUGUUUUGUCAUCUAAUGAACUACUGCAAAAAAAUAACAAACGCAAGUAAAACUUACUCCACGAAUCCAGGCAAUCUAUGCGCAUGCGUUCUUGGUCCCGAAGUGGCGCACAGCAGCAGAGGCGGAGGAAACCAACGGAAAAUUUUCUCGACGACUGAUGUCGACAUAUGUGACUUUUACACGAUUGCAUUCACCAUUCAAGCUCAUGCAAGAUGUGUACCCCAGCAAAGUUGCAAAUUGUUUUUGAAGAGAAUGACAUUCGCAAAUUGGUUCUGCCCUCAGGCAUCCCCAGUACUCUUCAGGACCUUAAACGUGUAAUCAAAGAAACAUUUGAUAUUCCAGACUGCUUUACUUUGAUGUAUGAAGACAUGGAUUUUACCAGUUUUCUACCUUGAGCUCAAUAGAUGAUGUACAGGAUAAAUGUACUAUAAAAGUGGUACAAACUGAACCCAUCACCCUGAAUCUGAGUGCUGUGGAAGAACCAAUCCUACAAAAUGAGUCUGACGCCAUAUCAUGCAGUUCUCAGGACACUGUUGUGCUAUGUCCUUCUGAAAAUGAGACUUCAUUCCUUUCUUUAGACUCCAGAUCCAGCAGUUCCCAAGACACUGUUCUACUAUCUUCGUCUGAGAGUUCCACAUCAUGCCGUUCUCAAGGAUGGCCAGCAAAGUUUAAAAUACCAACUUUCUCAUUUGAUACAGAGCUCUUGAUUUCAGAAGGAAACAAAGCCUACCAAAAGGAUGGCACCCUCUUGAACAAUCCAAGAGUAACAAGAAGUGUCCUUGAGACACUAGCAGGGACAAUAUUUCGUUUCACUGCGUACCCAACAGGUGUCCAGAUUAUGAACGUAGUAGAGAUGUUGAUUGAAAAGUACCCAUGCCUCAAAGAGCCAGGGUCAUUUAAUGGACAGUAUGGUUGGCAACAGAGGAUUAAAUAUAAGAUGGGCAGUUAUCGAGCAAAAUUAAGAGGCAGUCAGCUUUCCUGCCCAGAGCUGGAGGUCAACUCUUUGAAAAGAAAGAAGACAAAUGAAAACUCUUGCCCCAAAGGCACGAAACGCCCCAGGAAGGCUGAAGUAAAUUACUUGCCCCCAUUUCCAUUUGAGGAAACUGAGGAAACUUUAGAGAAGGAGAGAGUUGAUCUUCUUAAAGAAAUUCAGAAGAAAAACAACAAGAAGGUCAUCGGUGAGAAAAUGGAGAAGACUUUCUCCUAUCGAAGAUUAGAAAUCAUUAAUCACUGCCCUGCUGUCAAAGAUUUCAAGGAGGAUGGCCAGCUCUUUUUUGUGAAUCUGAGAUCAAGAAUGAGUUCAGAAGGAUAACCACAGUUCCCCUGGAGCCAACCUUUCUGCAAAAACUGGACCUCUACGCUCCAAAGCUCCUGGAUUUGUUUAAAAAGAAGGGUGGGGAUGCAGGCAUAAAAAUUAGAAGUGUGCUAGAUUCACUCUGCCAGCAAGUUAAGAUAAGAUAAGCGAGAUGCUGUGAUUCGCUGCCUGCUUUCCUACCUGGGAGAAUCAUCUGAGGAGCUCAUUGAAGACUACCAGGAUGUGAGCAGAGACAUGAUUAAAGAUGGCUUCACCAAUCAUGUAAUGAAGAUCAUUGUACUGGGCAGCACUGCAGGAGAGGAAGAUGCCAACAUAGCUGACGUCAUCAUCGUCAUUGAGGGAACUGAGGUACUGUCGGGAUGUAAGAACCUCACAAAUGCGUGCCUCAUGCUCAUGGGCUUCAUUUACUCCCUGAACUUAAGCUAUCCUUCAAAGCUGAGAAACACAUUUGAAGUGUUUCAGAAAAUCUUCCUUGGGCUGGAUGCUUUAAAAUUUUCACCAAAGGUUAGCUCUUUGCAGAGAAAGCUACUGAUAUAAGUCUGUUGGCCAUUUUGUUUGGUACUCGCACUUUUUUUAUUUGCUCAAUUGUUCUUCAAGUGAGAAUGUCCUCAAAAGUUUGAUUAAUGUAAAUAUGAGCAAAGUUUGUACUGUACUUUGUACAUUUUUGUCCAUUUGUUUUUUUAUUCCCUUUG